RNAcentral lists this small RNA (138 nucleotides) under Arabidopsis thaliana (thale cress). RNAcentral describes it as "ATSL248050". The record is from RNAcentral. Lineage: Eukaryota; Viridiplantae; Streptophyta; Magnoliopsida; Brassicales; Brassicaceae.
GUUUCUUUAUCUAAAUAAUUUGGAUUCGAAAUUUUUAGCCACUUACAUAAUAGAACCAUCAAUUCCCAACAAAUUAGGUCUACUAAAUAGAUUACUUUCGGAAGACGACUAUUGCGCGCGAUUUUUCAAUAUCUGCAU